UGAAUGGCGAUGAAGAAGAGGAGUACGUCAUUAGGAUGUUUUAGAGAGAAGGCGUUUGGUGCAAGUCUUCGCAUUCUGUGAUGGAAGGUCGCUUUGGAGCUGCUAUGCCCUCAAAACGGCGUAGCCGUCGACGACGUUACCGUGAGAGUCUUGGAUUUUUCCGGGAGAAGAUUGGUGGUACCACGAAAGCGUACGCUUUCGUCCUUUUG
RNAcentral lists this non-coding RNA (209 nucleotides) under Mitsuokella sp. RNAcentral's name for it is "T-box sequence". It matches the Rfam family "T-box leader". From Rfam's summary of the family: Uncharged tRNA acts as the effector for transcription antitermination of genes in the T-box leader family. T-boxes are found upstream of many aminoacyl-tRNA synthetase genes and some amino acid biosynthetic genes usually in Gram-positive bacteria. The anticodon of a specific tRNA base pairs to a specifier sequence within the T-box motif, and the NCCA acceptor tail of the tRNA base pairs to a conserved bulge in the T-box antiterminator hairpin. Lineage: Bacteria; Bacillati; Bacillota; Negativicutes; Selenomonadales; Selenomonadaceae. The record is from RNAcentral.